RNAcentral lists this ribosomal RNA (313 nucleotides) under uncultured bacterium. RNAcentral's name for it is "bacterial SSU rRNA". It matches the Rfam family "Bacterial small subunit ribosomal RNA", at positions 28 to 334 of the family's 1533-position model. The record is from RNAcentral.
GACGAACGCUGGCGGCGUGCUUAACACAUGCAAGUCGAACGAUGAAGCCGGGGCUUUUUGUUUUGGUGGAUUAGUGGCGAACGGGUGAGUAAUACGUGAGUAACCUGCCCUUGUCUUUGGGAUAAGCCUGGGAAACUGGGUCUAAUACCGGAUAUUCUGCUUUUGCCGCAUGGUGGGGGUUGGAAAGUAUUUUUUGGAUGGGGAUGGGCUCACGGCCUAUCAGCUUGUUGGUGGGGUGAUGGCCUACCAAGGCAAUGAUGGGUAGCCGGCCUGAGAGGGUGAACGGCCACAAGGGGACUGAGACACGGCCCUU